RNAcentral lists this ribosomal RNA (473 nucleotides) under uncultured bacterium. RNAcentral describes it as "bacterial SSU rRNA". It matches the Rfam family "Bacterial small subunit ribosomal RNA", at positions 355 to 825 of the family's 1533-position model. The record is from RNAcentral.
UGGGGAAUAUUGCGCAAUGGGCGAAAGCCUGACGCAGCAACGCCGCGUGAGUGAUGAAGGCCUUCGGGUCGUAAAGCUCUGUCGGAGGGAACGAAUGCUCCUGAAGUUAACAGCCUCAGGAGGUGACGGUACCCUCAAAGGAAGCACCGGCUAACUCUGUGCCAGCAGCCGCGGUAAUACAGAGGGUGCAAGCGUUAAUCGGAAUGACUGGGCGUAAAGGGCGCGUAGGUGGAUGCGUGAGUAAAUUGUGAAAGACCCGGGCUUAACCUGGGAAGGUCAAUUUAAACGGCGUAUCUAGAGUGGAGUAGAGGGAAGUAGAAUUUCCGGUGUAGCGGUGAAAUGCGUAGAUAUCGGAAGGAAUACCGGUGGCGAAGGCGUCUUCCUGGACUCUAACUGACACUGAGGCGCGAAAGCAUGGGGAUCAAACAGGAUUAGAUACCCAAGUAGUCCCUGAGCGGGCUGGCAAGGCGCAU